UGUCUUUUUGAGAUAAUAUAAAGUCUAAUCUGCCCACUGAUUAAAAAUUAAAGGGCUGCAGUAUAUUGACUGUACAAAGGUAGCAUAAUCAAUAGUCAUUUAAUUGGUGACUUGUAUGAAAGAUUGGAUGAAAUAUAAACUGUCUUUUAUUUAAUUAUAAAAUUUAAUUUUUUUUUUAAAAAGUUAAAAUAAUUUAAAAAGACGAGAAGACCCUAUAGAGUUUUAUAAAUAAUUAAGUUAAAAUUAUAUUGAAAAUUUAAGUUUUAAAUUUAAUUUAUUUAUUUUGUUGGGGUGACAGAAAAAUAUAAAAAACUUUUUUGUUUUAAAAGACAUUUAUAAUUGAUUAAAAUGAUCCAAUAAUAUUGAUUAUAAGAAAAAAUUACCUUAGGGAUAACAGCGUAAUUUUUUUUUUUAGUUCAAAUAAAAAGAAGAGUUUGCGACCUCGAUGUUGGAUUAAGAUAAAGAUUAGGUGUAGAAG
This 478-nucleotide ribosomal RNA is filed under the name Acrapex sp. ACZAG7225. RNAcentral's name for it is "partial 16S large subunit ribosomal RNA". The record is from RNAcentral. Lineage: Eukaryota; Metazoa; Arthropoda; Insecta; Lepidoptera; Noctuidae.